RNAcentral lists this ribosomal RNA (662 nucleotides) under Fibroporia ceracea. Its description in RNAcentral is "eukaryotic LSU rRNA". The stretch from base 223 to 376 matches the Rfam family "5.8S ribosomal RNA". The record is from RNAcentral. Lineage: Eukaryota; Fungi; Basidiomycota; Agaricomycetes; Polyporales; Fibroporiaceae.
UCGAGUGACUGCGGAGGUCAUUAUGAAUUUAUUGAAUUGGGUUGUAGCUGGCCCUUUACUGGGGCAUGUGCACGCCUUGUUCAUCUGUUUAUAUACACCUGUGCACCAUUUGUAGGUUGGUCAUUACGAGAAAGCCGUGAGGUUUUCUUGGACCUUCCUAUGUUUUAUUAUAAACCCUUGAAUGUUUUUGAAUGUCUUUGCAUUAACAAUGCAUUUUAAUACAACUUUCAGCAACGGAUCUCUUGGCUCUCGCAUCGAUGAAGAACGCAGCGAAAUGCGAUAAGUAAUGUGAAUUGCAGAAUUCAGUGAAUCAUCGAAUCUUUGAACGCACCUUGCGCUCCUUGGUAUUCCGAGGAGCAUGCCUGUUUGAGUGUCAUGGAAUUAUCAAAUCCCUCUUUUUUGCUUUAUUGUGAAGUGGUUGGAUUUGGAUUUGGAGGUUUUUUGCUGGCUACAAUUAAAUUUGUUGGUCGGCUCCUCUUGAAUGCAUUAGCUUGAAUCUUUUUAACGGGAGAUUGGCUUAUCGGUGUGAUAAACUUGCGCCGGGGUCGGUUUUUGUGAAUAAAAAGAAAAUCGAGCUUCUAAUUGUCCUUGUUCAAGGGACAAAUUUACAUUUGACCUCUGACCUCAAAUCAGGUAGGAUUACCCGCUGAACUUAAGCAUAU